RNAcentral lists this ribosomal RNA (408 nucleotides) under uncultured bacterium. RNAcentral describes it as "partial 16S ribosomal RNA". It matches the Rfam family "Bacterial small subunit ribosomal RNA", at positions 28 to 526 of the family's 1533-position model. The record is from RNAcentral.
GACGAACGCUGGCGGCGUGCCUAAUACAUGCAAGUCGAGCGAGUCGGCGGUUGGUUGAGAAACGCGUGGGUAACCUGGCCAUAAAUCUGGGAUACCAGUUGGAAACAGAUGCUAAUACCGGAUACUUAAGGAUGGACCUGCGAUGCAUUAGCUAGAUGGUACGGUAACGGCCUACCAAGGCGAUGAUGCAUAGCCGAGUUGAGAGACUGAUCGGCCACACUGGGACUGAGACACGGCCCAAACUCCUACGGGAGGCAGCAGUAGGGAAUAUUGCACAAUGGACGAAAGUCUGAUGGAGCAACGCCGCGUGAGUGAAGAAGGUCUUCGGAUCGUAAAGCUCUGUUGUUGGUGAAGCGGUAAUCAACCAGAAAGUCACGGCUAACUACGUGCCAGCAGCCGCGGUAAUUC